AUCGUUUAAUGCGGAAGUUACUUGGAUGUAGAAAUAAAAUGCAGCUUCAGGUUUUUAUAAGAGAAUGUUUUGACAAAAUUAAACAAUGAUUGCACAUAUAUUUUUAUAUUGGUUCACUAGCUACGUCCGGUCUCCUAUAUCUACAGAGGGUUCCACUAUAAUCUUCAAUAAGAGGUAUUCUUGGUUAGCAAAUAACCUUCUGUUACCCUAGACUGAAUGAGUAUUUGCACCACUCAUAGUAUUCCUGAUCAGCGAAUAACCUUCUGUUACCCUAGAUUAGUUGAGAAUCCACACCACUCCGGUAUCCCUGAUCAGCGAAUAACCUUCUAUUACCCUAAAUCAAUUAAACAUUCACUCCACUCCUGGUACUAGACAACUUUGUCUAGAUUUCCUCAAUUCAACUGAGUUCAAUAAGUGUUUUAAUUCUCUUUAGAAUUACAGUCAAUGAUUGCUUACAAGUCGUUUAGACUAUUACUCUCACAGAGAGGAUAUGUGUAC
This 498-nucleotide long non-coding RNA is filed under the name Vigna radiata. RNAcentral's name for it is "long non-coding RNA (VRAD_LNC000399)". The record is from RNAcentral. Lineage: Eukaryota; Viridiplantae; Streptophyta; Magnoliopsida; Fabales; Fabaceae.